Molecule: ribosomal RNA, 1406 nt
Filed under: Escherichia coli
Lineage: Bacteria; Pseudomonadati; Pseudomonadota; Gammaproteobacteria; Enterobacterales; Enterobacteriaceae
Description: partial 23S ribosomal RNA
Rfam family: Bacterial large subunit ribosomal RNA
Source: RNAcentral
AUGCUGGAGGUAUCAGAAGUGCGAAUGCUGACAUAAGUAACGAUAAAGCGGGUGAAAAGCCCGCUCGCCGGAAGACCAAGGGUUCCUGUCCAACGUUAAUCGGGGCAGGGUGAGUCGACCCCUAAGGCGAGGCCGAAAGGCGUAGUCGAUGGGAAACAGGUUAAUAUUCCUGUACUUGGUGUUACUGCGAAGGGGGGACGGAGAAGGCUAUGUUGGCCGGGCGACGGUUGUCCCGGUUUAAGCGUGUAGGCUGGUUUUCCAGGCAAAUCCGGAAAAUCAAGGCUGAGGCGUGAUGACGAGGCACUACGGUGCUGAAGCAACAAAUGCCCUGCUUCCAGGAAAAGCCUCUAAGCAUCAGGUAACAUCAAAUCGUACCCCAAACCGACACAGGUGGUCAGGUAGAGAAUACCAAGGCGCUUGAGAGAACUCGGGUGAAGGAACUAGGCAAAAUGGUGCCGUAACUUCGGGAGAAGGCACGCUGAUAUGUAGGUGAAGUCCCUCGCGGAUGGAGCUGAAAUCAGUCGAAGAUACCAGCUGGCUGCAACUGUUUAUUAAAAACACAGCACUGUGCAAACACGAAAGUGGACGUAUACGGUGUGACGCCUGCCCGGUGCCGGAAGGUUAAUUGAUGGGGUCAGCGCAAGCGAAGCUCUUGAUCGAAGCCCCGGUAAACGGCGGCCGUAACUAUAACGGUCCUAAGGUAGCGAAAUUCCUUGUCGGGUAAGUUCCGACCUGCACGAAUGGCGUAAUGAUGGCCAGGCUGUCUCCACCCGAGACUCAGUGAAAUUGAACUCGCUGUGAAGAUGCAGUGUACCCGCGGCAAGACGGAAAGACCCCGUGAACCUUUACUAUAGCUUGACACUGAACAUUGAGCCUUGAUGUGUAGGAUAGGUGGGAGGCUUUGAAGUGUGGACGCCAGUCUGCAUGGAGCCGACCUUGAAAUACCACCCUUUAAUGUUUGAUGUUCUAACGUUGACCCGUAAUCCGGGUUGCGGACAGUGUCUGGUGGGUAGUUUGACUGGGGCGGUCUCCUCCUAAAGAGUAACGGAGGAGCACGAAGGUUGGCUAAUCCUGGUCGGACAUCAGGAGGUUAGUGCAAUGGCAUAAGCCAGCUUGACUGCGAGCGUGACGGCGCGAGCAGGUGCGAAAGCAGGUCAUAGUGAUCCGGUGGUUCUGAAUGGAAGGGCCAUCGCUCAACGGAUAAAAGGUACUCCGGGGAUAACAGGCUGAUACCGCCCAAGAGUUCAUAUCGACGGCGGUGUUUGGCACCUCGAUGUCGGCUCAUCACAUCCUGGGGCUGAAGUAGGUCCCAAGGGUAUGGCUGUUCGCCAUUUAAAGUGGUACGCGAGCUGGGUUUAGAACGUCGUGAGACAGUUCGGUCCCUAUCUGCCGUGGGCGCUGGAGAA